CUCUGAUGAAGAUAAAGCCCAAUUAGCAAGUAAAAUGAGUCCUCUGAAAGAUGAACCAUGGCCUAUACAUCCUUGGGAACCAGGUUCUUCUAGAGUUGGCCUUAUUGCUGUGAAACUGGGUAUGAUGCCUCUGUGGACUAA
Urocitellus parryii (Arctic ground squirrel) is the source of this 141-nucleotide non-coding RNA. The record is from RefSeq and is a predicted model, not a curated record. NCBI's taxonomy places the organism in Eukaryota, Metazoa, Chordata, Mammalia, Rodentia, Sciuridae.